AUUGUGAAUGAAAAAAAGCCUAUCUCACAAAAAUACCAUUGAGCGCAUUUCCAAAAGAAACAUGAAUCUGAUGUAGCCAGACAUUCAGCUGGUGGUAGAGUGAGGCUGCAGAUGUUCAUUACCACGUGGUAGAACCUCAUCGUUGAAGGCUCUCAACAUUCUUGGGAGAAGUGUUCUCCAUAUACCAGCCAACACCAUGUGCCUGAGUCAUUUUGGUCAGCUUCACCAGAGAGCAAUACAGGAGACCAUGCAGCAUGCUGCUUCAACAUGUGGGUUCUGGGUCUGACUGCCUGGGUCCAAAUCCUAGAUCCUCUACUUUUUAGCUUUAUGACUUGGGGUAAUUAAUUUAACUUUUCCAAGGGUUUGGAAAAUCUCCAAGGGUAAAUGUAAGGAAUAAAUGUAGUAAUGACUGUAAACCACACAGCACCAUGCCUGGUAAAUAAUAAAUACUUAUUUAUGUUAUUUUUAAUAAGAAAUAUAUACUAAGAGUUUGGGGGUAUUUAAGAAGAGGAGAGCAUACAAACUAACAAAAGGAUGUAAACCCCAUUUCAUAGGCUGCAAUUCAGUUAGAGAAAAGGUACAUAUAUUCCCAUAUAUAGAAAUCACUAUAAGGCUGGUGUAGGCAGAAGAGCAGUUUUCAGCUCUUGAUUAAACUUUGGAAUUGUCUUAUUCAGGGACUUAAGAGGAUGAGAACAUUGGCCACCUCACAGAUAGACCUAAAUUGGAUUUGGAUUAGCCACGACUAAUGGUAGGGUAGGUCAAAUUUCUUAUUGUGUGGGGGUCAGGUUUUAGAAACUUCUUAAAGGGGGAAAGUCCCUUUAGAGGAAAUUUAUUUAAGACCAUGUUGAUUUGUGUGCUUUCUGUGAGCAAAUCAUCUUUAAUGUAUAGCGUGUCAGACUCUGUAAAAAUUUUUUUCUCCACAAUUAAGAUUACGUCUUCUAUAAGAGGAGGGACAAUCUCCCACUGGAAAUGGCUUUCAAUCCACUUACAAACUCCUUGAGGGCUGAGCCACUUCUUACCUUCCCUUUAUGUCUAAUUGCACCUAGGACAAUUUGAGUUGGAACUCAACAAAUUAUAAUGCAAUUGAACCAAAUAGGAUCAGAUAAUUGAAGAAUUUGGUUAUUGCUACUGUUGUUUUGAAGUUGCCUUAAUGAAGGCCAAAUAGGCUUGCAUGAUGGCCAUGAGCCUUCUGUCUUUCUUUGUCAAUCUUCAUGCUAGAGAUAGGAAUUCCUGAGCAAAGACAGCAACUGAUGAGAUUUUAAAAACACCUUCUGAUAACCCAAAACUGCCCAAGCUAAUCUUAGCUUCCCAUAGACUUAAUUCUGAGUCUUUGUCUUUUAUUCACCUGUAAAGGGCUUUUGAUUUAGAAAGGACUAUAUCAGAAUUGAGGUGUAUCAGAAUCUUUGGUGGCCGUAAGAAGUUUGCAAAAGUCCCCCAGUGAUUCCCCACCAUCUCUCCCAUCCACAACCCCUGAAACAGACCAGUUGGAAACAACUGCUCAGAAUAACAUACUUAAGUCUGAAAAUUGACUCACUGUCAGAGCCCUGCCAGUGUGUAAUGAGGAACAGUGAGAUCAUCUUUAGUUUUAUUGAGGAAACAACACAAUUCAAAAUCCUUAUUGUGCCCAAAACACUUACUGGAAAAAAAUUCUGAGGAUAAGGUAAAAGAAAGCACAAUGGAGGAUGCCAUGAACAAUGUUACAGAUUAGAAUUAAUGUCAUUUUACCUGUUAAACUGAGAUAUGUUCCAGAAAUGUUUGCGAUUAUGAGAUAGAGACAUGUACAUGUAGGCAGAACACAGGGAAGGGCAAGUGUUGGAUUUAAAAGCAAGAUCCAGAGAGUGUUCUUGGCUACCUAUUUCCUCCCCUCACCAUGAAAUCCCAGGAAGGGUCACUCUUCCUUUCAUGGAGAAUGUGAUUGACGCCCAAGAAUCCCCACUGGGACAGUGUCCUGGAGAAAGGAGCUCUUGAGGAAUGAAGGAAGGGGCUCCACCUACCUUCCCUCCUCAUCUGGCAGGAUGUUCACUUCCAUGACCUAAGCUGAUUUAGUUAAAACUUGGCCUGGAUGUGCUUUCUUCUAGGAAGGCUCUCACAUCGGGAGGGCAAAGCAGACCAGAGUGGUGACAGAGGAAAGGACACAUGGCAGUUGCUCAGUGGGGAUGUCAACUUAACGGAGAAGGUCAACAGAGGCCAUGGAGAUUUCCUCUCCAAGUAGGAAAGCAGACAGGAAGUCAGGCAGAAAUCAAAGCAGGACAAACAAGGAGCCUAAGACUGGUAUCCAUGAGCCCUCAGGGCUCUACACAUGGCUGAGCAAGAGCCAACCCACAAAGCCACACACAACAAGCGCUGCUGCUCAUGUCCUCAAGAAGCUUAAACCCAAGCUGUGGGUGAUGAGACAGGAAAAUGGCUUCAACAGAGGUGAGGGGACCCCAAGCCCCGCUUGGUUCCAGUGAGCACACGCCACUGGAGCCAAAGAAUACGAGUUGUGGGGGUAAUUUGGAUCUGAAGAGAAAGGAUAGAACUGAAACCUACAGCAAGAAGAAUGUCCAGUAAGUUCGUUGUUGGGGAAAGUGAGCGAGUUGGGGAAAGAAGAGGAGAAAAAACCAUCAACUGGGGCCAAAGGAUGAAAUUCAAGAAGCAGACAAGGACAGAGGUUCAAGAUGGAAGGGAAUCUGACACAAUCCUAACAGCUGCUAAUAUUGAUUGAGCACUUACUACGUAUUUAGGUCUCACAGCAAGGGUUGGCAAAUGUUUUCUGUAAAGAACCAGAUAGUCUUGUGGACCAUCUGGUCUCCAUCACAGCUACUCAGCUCUGUUUCUGUAGCACGAAAGCAGCCUCAGACAAUAAGAAAAUGAAUUGGCAUGGCUGGAUUUAGCCCGCAGGCCUUAGUUCCUCAGCUGCUGCUAGGAGAUGACUGGUAUGAUUAUCUCCACUGUUGGCAUGAAGACUGAGGCUGAGAAGGGUAGAGAGGGAGUGCCUGGUCUGGUUCUCCCUUGACUGGAACACCCGCAAAGGGCGAGCUUGAGUUCACCUGCAAGAGACCUGUGGAAUGCCAGGCAAGCUGUGCAACAAGACUCUGGGUAUAGGUACCUGCAGGCACCUGGCACCCUCGAGAUAGCUCUCACAUCACCACUAAAAAAGCCCAAACCAGGGAGUUCUCGUCGUGGUGCAGUGGUUAACGAAUCCGACUAGGAACCAUGAGGUUGCGGGUUCGGUCCCUGCCCUUGCUCAGUGGGUUAACGAUCCGGCGUUGUCGUGAGCUGUGGUGUAGGUUGCAGACGCGGCUCGGAUCCCGUGUUGCUGUGGCUCUGGCAUAGGCCAGUGGCUACAGCUCCGAUUCAACCCCUAGCCCGGGAACCUCCAUAUGCUGGAGGAGCGGCCCAA
RNAcentral lists this long non-coding RNA (3382 nucleotides) under Sus scrofa (pig). RNAcentral describes it as "lncRNA (ENSSSCG00000055123.1)". Lineage: Eukaryota; Metazoa; Chordata; Mammalia; Artiodactyla; Suidae. The record is from RNAcentral.